This 4315-nucleotide ribosomal RNA is filed under the name Triticum aestivum (bread wheat). RNAcentral describes it as "partial small subunit ribosomal RNA". Lineage: Eukaryota; Viridiplantae; Streptophyta; Magnoliopsida; Poales; Poaceae. The record is from RNAcentral.
GCCGGGCAUUUAUCAUCUACUGCUGUGUGGUAGCUGGCCACUACUGUUGCUUGGCACUUGUAUGCUGCUGCUAUUGGACCAGGCAAGGCAUCUCCAAGUCUCAGAAAUCUCAAGGUUUUGUAUUGCUUGGCUCUUCUUCUUAGAAAUGGAGGUUUCGCCUUGAUCUUUGUGGCUUAUCAGUUUAGCUAUCCUCUGUCUUCAGGUGCAGCAGCAUGGUUUUCCCCUGGUAGUUGUUUGAUAAUCUUCUGUUAUCUAUUGUGAUUCUAGCUUGCACUUGGCCUUGCGAGAUCUUUAAAACUACCGACUGGCUAGAAGACUGGUUUGUAAGGGAAUAUCCCAGUGUUUUGGGUGGACCUCUGGCACUGCGUUUUUCUGAUCCAUGGCGGCCAUACUUGAAACUUUGCUUAAAUCAAGUGUCAAUAAGUUGCAAGAUGUCAUCACGGAUGAGGCUGUACUAAUCCUAGGGGUGGAAGAAGAGCUCACAAAACUGCUGGGACGAGUGGAACUAAUUCAGUGUUGUAUAUACGAUGCGGAGAAAAGGAGGACAAAAGAGCGAGCAGUAAACAACUGGCUUGGUCAACUGAGAGAUGUUAUAUAUGAUGUUGAUGAAAUCCUGGAUGUGGCUAGAUGUAAAGGAAGCAAGCUACUUGCUGACCACCCUUCACCAUCAUCAGGCAAAUCAGUUGCAUGUAAAGGCCUUUCAGUCUCCUCUUGUUUUUGCAACAUAGUGCCACGCCGUGAUGUUGCUGUUCGGAUUAGAAGCCUGAACAAAAAAAUUGAGAACAUUGUAAAUGACAAGAUAUUUUCGACUUUCAACAGUAGUACACAACCUACUCGAAAUGGUCCGACAUCCAAACUGAUAAGACGUUCCACUCUUGUUGAGCCCAACCUUGUGGGGAAGGAGAUCAUACAUUCUAGCAGGAAGUUGGUGGACUUAGUGGUUGCACACAAGGAAUACAAGUCUUACAAGCUUGGUAUCGUUGGAACUGGAGGAGUUGGUAAGACAACACUAGCUCAAAAAAUAUACAAUGAUCAGAAAAUAAAAGGAAGCUUCAAGAUACAUGCAUGGAUUUGUGUUUCACAAGACUACAAUGAAGAAACUCUUCUUAAGGAGGUUCUUCGGAAUAUUGGUGUGCAUCAUGAGCAAGGUGAAACCAUAGCAGAGCUCCAGAGGAAGCUUGCAAAAACAAUUGAAGGGAAGAGUUUCUUUCUGGUUCUAGAUGAUGUAUGGCAUUCCAGUGUAUGGACGGAUCUAUUAAGACCUGCAUUACAUGAAACAUCAUCUGGAGUAAUAUUGGUAACCACACGAGAUGAUCAAAUUACAAGCAGAAUAGGUGUACGGUAUACCCAUCGAGUUGAUCUCAUGUCAGUAGAGGUGGGAUGGGAGCUUCUUUGGAGGAGUAUGAACAUUGAGCAAGAGAAAGAAAUACAUAAUUUAAGAAACACAGGGAUUGAGAUUGUUCGUAAAUGUGGCCACCUCCCUCUUGCAAUCAAGGUUACCGCUGGUGCUUUGGCAAGUGGAGAUCUAACGGAGAAUGAGUGGAAAAAGUAUUUGGGCAAAUAUGUUGGUUCCCACAACAUGCUCUCUGAUGAAAUAGAAGGAGCUAUGUAUCUGAGCUAUGAUGAGUUGCUGCAUCGUCUGAAACAGUGUUUCCUUUAUUGUGCUUUGUAUACUAAAGAUUCUAUCAUUCGGCAUGAUGAAGUUACCUGGUUAUGGAUUGCUGAAGGCUUCAUCGAGGAGCAGCAAGGCCAACUACUAGAAGAUAUAGCAGAAGAGUACUACUCAGUGUUUUGAUUUUCGUUUUGUGAUUUUUCUCGCCCUAGGCCGAGAUGGCCGAAUUUCGGUCGUUUUUAAAAAUUUCGGCCGAAAUUUGACCAAAUUUUGACUGAAAUUUGAUUAAAAUUUGACCAAAAUUUCUCAAAUUUGACCAAUUUCGGCGGAAGAUAGAUUUCGCCCUAGGCCGAGAUGGCCUAAAUUCGGCCGAAAUCCAUUUUUUACGGCCGAAAUUCAAAACCCUAGUACUACUACGAGCUAAUACAUCGGAAUCUCCUCCAGCCAAAUAGGAUAAAUUUUGACUAGGCUGAAUGCAAAAUGCAUGACCUCUUAAGACAACUUGCUUUAAAUAUAUCAAGAGAAGAAUGUUUUGUUGGAGAUGUUGAAUCAUUAAGGGGUGAAAAUAUGUCAAAACUGCGACGUGUUACUGUUGUCGCGGCUAAGAAGGAUAUAUUAGUGUUGCCUAGCAAGGAUAAGGUGGAAGUUAAGGUGAGGACUUUCCUAACUGUUCGUGGUCCACAGAGAAUUGAGGAUACAUUGUUCAAGAGAUUUCUUCUUCUUCGUGUUUUGGUACUGAAUUACACACUUGUGCAAAGCAUUCCAGACUAUAUAGGAAAAUUGAUACAUCUACGUCUACUUAAUCUGGAUUAUACUGGCAUAUCUUGUCUUCCGGAAUCCAUUGGCUCCCUAAAGAACCUUCAAGUACUGAGCUUGAGAUGGUGUGAUGAUCUGCACAGUCUUCCUUUAGCAAUGACCCUCUUGUGCAGUUUAAGAUGUCUUGAUCUUUUUGGCACAGAAAUAAAUUAGGUUCCAAAAGGCAUAGGGAAAUUGAAGUUCCUUACUUGUUUGAGAGAUUAUCCUGUUGGUGAUGGAAGUGAUAAUGCCGUUGUACAAGAUGGAUGGAAGUUGGAAGAGUUGUCUUCUUUGUCGCAGAUGAGGUAUCUUUCUCUUGUUAAAUUGGAAAGAGCAACUUACUGCAGUACAAAUACAGUGCUUACAGACAAAAAACAUCUAAAAAAACUGACACUAUAGUGGACUGAACGUGGAGAGGGGUCAUAUUCAGAAGAAGAUGUUAGUAAUACUGAGAAGGUCUUUGAGCAGCUAAUACCUCCGCACAACCUAGAAGGCUUAUCUAUUGUUAAUUUCUUUGGUCAGCGGUAUCCCACCUGGUUUCGUACCACUUUUUUGUCUUCCUUAAUAUACUUGAAACUCAUAGAUGUACGAUCAUGUGUGCAUCUUCCACCAAUCUGGCAGCUACCAAACUUGAAAUAUCUGAGAAUUAAAGGAGCACAUGCAGUUGCCAAGGUUGGACCUGAAUUUGUUGGCUGCAAGAAGGGUGAUCAUGUAUGUAAUGAGUUUGUUGCUUUCCCAAAACUUGAAUGGUUGAUCUUCGCAGAUAUGCCCAACUGGGAGGAGUGGUCUUUUUUUGAGGAAGAAGUUGUUGCUGAUGUAAGCGGAGUGGAUGGAGCUGCUGAGAUCCGAAAAGAGGAUGCCCAACCUGCAAGGGUGCGACUGCUGCCUCGUUUGUUGGAAUUGCAACUUCAUGGUUGCCCGAAGCUGAGGGAUCUCCCGCAACAGCUUGGAAAGGGCACCACCUGUUUGAAGGAGCUCACCUUAAUAGGACUAAACAGCUUGAAGGCCGUGGAGGACCGCCCAGUGCUCUCUGAGGUCCUUGUUAUUGAGGAUUGUGAAGGCCUAGAGAAGGUCUCCAACCUCCCUGAAGUGGCAGAGCUGCAUGUGGGUGGUUGUCCAAACUUAAGCCAUGUAGAGAGAUUGGACAGUUUGCAGCGGCUGGGGCUGGGCGAGGAUAUGCAAGAGAUCUCUUCACGUUGGGUGCCUGGGCUUCAAGAGCAGCACCAACGACUUCAUGGCGAAGAUCUGGAUAUCUACACGCUGUUUAGGUAGUAGAUGGCUGGUAAGGUAUAUCUGAACACUGUCCACUGGUUGGAUAUUUAGUAUUGUCUCGGAUUGUGUCAACCAUGGUCCAUAUUCUCACAAGACAAUUUUCUGACUCAUUCGAUUCAUGCAUUGAAACGCCAUAUGGUUACUUAGAUUAUCAAAAUCGUCCUUUUAGAGUUCAAGAAUAUUGGCAUCUAUACCUAAUUUCUCAGCAUGUGUUUUUCCAUAAACCAAACUGUGUUUCCUAAUUCAUAUUAUAUACUCGGCAAAAUGGUGUCAGCCUAGGACUGGUGGCACGGAUCUUUUCGGCUGGCAAAGCACGAGUCAUACUAAGCUGAGGAGGCCUGUCCAUGCUGAAGAUGUGCAAGUGUGCCAUGGUCUGUAGCGAGCUGGUGAAGGAAGUGUUCUGUUUUUCUUUGGGCAGGUGCCUGGAAUUAAUGUAUCGAGUUUCGUCUUAUUUCUUUCUGAACUUUCCCAGAGACUUUCAUUGUACUGAAUCUGCGUGGCAUGGUUUGUUCUUUGGAUGUAAUCAACACAGUUCGUUUAUCUCCUUCUGAACUUGGGGCCGGAGGCCCUUUAAUGUAGUGAACCUGCGUGGCACGGUUUCGUUGUUUGAAUGGAAGUGAUGAAUUUCGUUUUGGC